RNAcentral lists this ribosomal RNA (254 nucleotides) under uncultured bacterium. Its description in RNAcentral is "partial 16S ribosomal RNA". It matches the Rfam family "Bacterial small subunit ribosomal RNA", at positions 524 to 776 of the family's 1533-position model. The record is from RNAcentral.
UACAGAGACUGCAAGCGUUAUUCGGAUUCACUGGGCGUAAAGGGCGCGUAGGCGGCCAGCACAAGUCAGUUGUGAAAUCUCCGAGCUUAACUCGGAAAGGUCAACUGAUACUGUGCGGCUAGAGUGCGGAAGGGGCAACUGGAAUUCUUGGUGUAGCGGUGAAAUGCGUAGAUAUCAAGAGGAACACCGGUGGCGAAGGCGGCGACCUGGGUAGAUACUGACGCUGAGGUGCGAAAGCGUGGGGAGCAAACAGG